Molecule: ribosomal RNA, 253 nt
Filed under: uncultured bacterium
Lineage: Bacteria
Description: partial 16S ribosomal RNA
Rfam family: Bacterial small subunit ribosomal RNA
Source: RNAcentral
UACAGAGGGUGCGAGCGUUGUCCGGAAUCACUGGGCGUAAAGGGCGCGUAGGCGGCUUGAUAAGGUUGCGGUGAAGGCCCGGGGCUCAACCCCGGGUCGGCCGUGGCAACUGUCGAGCUGGAGCACUGUAGAGGCAGGUGGAAUUCCGGGUGUAGCGGUGGAAUGCGUAGAGAUCCGGAAGAACACCGGUGGCGAAGGCGGCCUGCUGGGCAGUGGCUGACGCUGAGGCGCGACAGCGUGGGGAGCAAACAGG